UGCUGCUAGUAUAUGUUUAUGUUUGGGGA
This 29-nucleotide non-coding RNA is filed under the name Mus musculus (house mouse). Lineage: Eukaryota; Metazoa; Chordata; Mammalia; Rodentia; Muridae. The record is from RNAcentral.